RNAcentral lists this ribosomal RNA (301 nucleotides) under uncultured bacterium. RNAcentral's name for it is "partial 16S ribosomal RNA". It matches the Rfam family "Bacterial small subunit ribosomal RNA", at positions 509 to 808 of the family's 1533-position model. The record is from RNAcentral.
CAGCCGCCGCGGUAAUACAGAGGGUGCGAGCGUUAAUCGGAUUUACUGGGCGUAAAGCGUGCGUAGGCGGCUUCUUAAGUCGGAUGUGAAAUCCCUGAGCUUAACUUAGGAAUUGCAUUCGAUACUGGGAAGCUAGAGUAUGGGAGAGGAUGGUAGAAUUCCAGGUGUAGCGGUGAAAUGCGUAGAGAUCUGGAGGAAUACCGAUGGCGAAGGCAGCCAUCUGGCCUAAUACUGACGCUGAGGUACAAAAGCAUGGGGAGCAAACAGGAUUAGAUACCCCAGUAGUCCCUGUCUCUUAACA